CCCUUAGAUGUUCUGGGCCGCACGCGCGCUACACUGAUGCAUUCAACAAGCCUAGCCUUGACCGAGAGGUCCGGGUAAUCUUUGAAACUGCAUCGUGAUGGGGCUAGAUUAUUGCAAUUAUUAAUCUUCAACGAGGAAUGCCUAGUAAGCGUGAUUCAUCAAAUCGCGUUGAUUACGUCCCUGCCCUUUGUACACACCGCCCGUCGCUCCUACCGAUUGAAUGUGUUGGUGAGGAGCUCGGAUUGGCAGCAGUUGGUGGUUCGCCUCCGGCUAUUGCUGAGAAGUCCUCCAAACCGCCCCAUUUAGAGGAAGGAGAAGUCGUAACA
Molecule: ribosomal RNA, 326 nt
Filed under: uncultured eukaryote
Lineage: Eukaryota
Description: partial 18S ribosomal RNA
Rfam family: Eukaryotic small subunit ribosomal RNA
Source: RNAcentral